GAUGAACGCUGGCGGCGUGCCUAAUACAUGCAAGUCGAGCGAACAGACGAGGAGCUUGCUCCUCUGACGUUAGCGGCGGACGGGUGAGUAACACGUGGAUAACCUACCUAUAAGACUGGGAUAACUUCGGGAAACCGGAGCUAAUACCGGAUAAUAUAUUGAACCGCAUGGUUCAAUAGUGAAAGACGGUUUUGCUGUCACUUAUAGAUGGAUCCGCGCCGCAUUAGCUAGUUGGUAAGGUAACGGCUUACCAAGGCGACGAUGCGUAGCCGACCUGAGAGGGUGAUCGGCCACACUGGAACUGAGACACGGUCCAGACUCCUACGGGAGGCAGCAGUAGGGAAUCUUCCGCAAUGGGCGAAAGCCUGACGGAGCAAAGCCGCGUGAGUGAUGAAGGUCUUCGGAUCGUAAAACUCUGUUAUUAGGGAAGAAAAAAUGUGUAAGUAACUAUGCACGUCUUGACGGUACCUAAUCGGAAAGCCACGGCUAACUACGUG
Molecule: ribosomal RNA, 497 nt
Filed under: uncultured bacterium
Lineage: Bacteria
Description: partial 16S ribosomal RNA
Rfam family: Bacterial small subunit ribosomal RNA
Source: RNAcentral